Callorhinus ursinus (northern fur seal) is the source of this 573-nucleotide non-coding RNA. The record is from RefSeq and is a predicted model, not a curated record. NCBI's taxonomy places the organism in Eukaryota, Metazoa, Chordata, Mammalia, Carnivora, Otariidae.
AUGGCGACAGUGUGGGUCCUGGUGCUGGUGACCGUGGUGCUGGGCUUGGCCGGAGCAGGCCCUGUCCCUACUUCCAAACCCACCACAACCAGGAGGGACUGCCACAUGGACAGGUUCCAAUCUCUGUCACCGAGGGAGCUAGGAGCCUUCAAGAAGGCCAAGGAUGCCUUAGAGGAGUCGCUUUUGCCCAAGAACUGGAGCUGCAGCUCUCGCCUCUUCCCUAGGACCAGGAACCUGAGGCUGCUGCAGGCCUGGGAGCGCCCCGUGGCCUUGGAGGCUGAGCUAGACUUGACGCUGAAGGUCCUGGGGAACAUGGCGGACUCGUCCCUGGGGGUCGUCCUGGACCAGCCCCUCCGCAUGCUGCGCCACAUCCACUCCGAGCUCCAGGCUUGUGUCCCGGCUCAGCCCACAGCAGGACCCAGACCCCGUGGCCGCCUCCACCACUGGCUGCACCGGCUCCACAAGGCCCCAAAUGAGUCCCAGGACUGCCUUGAGGCCUCCAUCACGUUCAACCUCUUCCGCCUCCUCAGACAGGACCUGAAAUGUGUUGCCAGUGGAGACAUGUGCGUCUGA